AUGAUCAGCCACACUGGAACUGAGACACGGUCCAGACUCCUACGGGAGGCAGCAGUGGGGAAUAUUGGAAAUGGGCGCAAGCCUGAUCCAGCUAUGCCGCGUGAGUGAGGAAGGCCUUAGGGUUGUAAAACUCUUUCAGUAGGGAAGAUAAUGACGGUACCUACAGAAGAAGUCCCGGCAAACUCCGUGCCAGCAGCCGCGGUAAUACGGAGGGGGCAAGCGUUGUUCGGAAUUAUUGGGCGUAAAGGGCAUGUAGGCGGUUCGGUAAGUUAAAGGUGAAAUGCCAGGGCUUAACCCUGGAGCUGCUUUUAAUACUGCCAGACUAGAGUCCGGGAGAGGAUAGCGGAAUUCCUAGUGUAGAGGUGAAAUUCGUAGAUAUUAGGAGGAA
This 388-nucleotide ribosomal RNA is filed under the name Anaplasma phagocytophilum. RNAcentral describes it as "bacterial SSU rRNA". It matches the Rfam family "Bacterial small subunit ribosomal RNA", at positions 300 to 706 of the family's 1533-position model. Lineage: Bacteria; Pseudomonadati; Pseudomonadota; Alphaproteobacteria; Rickettsiales; Anaplasmataceae. The record is from RNAcentral.